This 494-nucleotide ribosomal RNA is filed under the name uncultured bacterium. RNAcentral describes it as "partial 16S ribosomal RNA". It matches the Rfam family "Bacterial small subunit ribosomal RNA", at positions 28 to 507 of the family's 1533-position model. The record is from RNAcentral.
GGCGAACGCUGGCGGCGUGCUUAACACAUGCAAGUCGAACGGAAAGGCCUGCUUUCCCUUGUGGAUUGCGGGUACUCGAGUGGCGAACGGGUGAGUAACACGUGAGUGAUCUGCCCCCAACUUGGGUAUAAGCCUGGGAAACUGGGUCUAAUUCCCGAUAGGACUGCAGGGUGGUGCCUGUGGUGGAAAACGAUUUUCUAGUGGUUGGGGAUGAGCUGGCGGCCUAUCAGCUUGUUGGUGGGGUAAUGGCCUACCAAGGCGGCGACGGGUAGCCGGCCUGAGAGGGUGGACGGCCACAUUGGGACUGAGAUACGGCCCAGACUCCUACGGGAGGCAGCAGUGGGGAAUAUUGCACAAUGGGCGGAAGCCUGAUGCAGCGACGCCGCGUGGGGGAUGACGGCCUUCGGGUUGUAAACUCCUUUCGACCGCGAGGAAGCCACCUGGUUGGAAGGGUGGUGACGGUAGUGGUAGAAGAAGCACCGGCUAACUACGUG